GCUGAGUACCCAGGUGCUCAAUAGGGAAAUUACCCUAUGGCACUGGGGAGCCACGGAAGGGACUGAACAGAGCAGGAAUCUCAUCUUCACUUUUCCUCUUCUCCCCCAGUACAUCAUCCUGUGCUCGGAAAUCCCAAAGCUCCCCGCAGUCUCCUUCCUUCUUGGGGGGGUCUGGUUUAACCUCACGGCCCAUGAUUACGUCAUCCAGACUACUCGAAAUGGCGUCCGCCUCUGCUUGUCCGGUUUCCAGGCCCUGGAUGUCCCUCCGCCUACAGGGCCCUUCUGGAUCCUCGGUGACGUCUUCUUGGGGACGUAUGUGGCCGUCUUCGACCGCGGGGACAUGAAGAGCAGCGCCCGGGUGGGCCUGGCGCGCGCUCGCACUCGCGGAGCGGACCUGGGAUGGGGAGAGACUGCGCAGGCGCAGUUCCCCGGGUGACGCCCAAGUGAAGCGCAUGCGCAGCGGGUGGUCGCGGAGGUCCUGCUACCCAGUAAAAAUCCACUAUUUCCAUUG
Molecule: small RNA, 511 nt
Filed under: Pan troglodytes (chimpanzee)
Lineage: Eukaryota; Metazoa; Chordata; Mammalia; Primates; Hominidae
Description: retained intron
Source: RNAcentral